GACGAACCGUGCGAACGUUAUUCGGAUUCACUGGGCUUAAAGGGCGCGUAGGCGGACUCGCCAGUCCGGGGUGAAAUCUUUCGGCUUAACCGGAAAAGUGCCUUGGAUACUGCGAGUCUUGAGGGAGGUAGGGGCAUGUGGAACUUCCGGUGGUGCGGUGAAAUGCGUAGAUAUCGGAAGGAACGCCGGCGGCGAAGGCGGUCUGCUGGGCCAAGACUGACGCUGAGGCGCGACAGCGUGGGGAGCAAACAGG
This 253-nucleotide ribosomal RNA is filed under the name uncultured bacterium. Its description in RNAcentral is "partial 16S ribosomal RNA". It matches the Rfam family "Bacterial small subunit ribosomal RNA", at positions 524 to 776 of the family's 1533-position model. The record is from RNAcentral.